Molecule: long non-coding RNA, 1713 nt
Filed under: Coffea arabica (coffee)
Lineage: Eukaryota; Viridiplantae; Streptophyta; Magnoliopsida; Gentianales; Rubiaceae
Description: long non-coding RNA (CARA_LNC005973)
Source: RNAcentral
AGCCAUUCAAUGGCUGUUGAGGCUGUCCUUUGCACGCUGCAAAAAAUUGCAGCGUGCAUGCUGCGAUAAUUUUUUUUUUUUUUUUAAACAACUUGAUAAUUACAGAAAUGAUAAAAUAAAAUAUAAAUAAUAAUAAUAAUAAUAAAAAUUACACAAACCAGGUAAUAAUAAUAAUAACAAAACAAAAAAUAAUUUUAAACAAAAAACUAAACAAAAAAAAAGGCCAUUUUUAAUUAAUUUUUCAAUUUUUCAUUUUUCAUCAUUUUCUUUUUCUUUUUUUUCAUUUUUCCAAUCCAACUAAAGCCUAUUUUUUCUUCUUUUCCUCUUUUUCUUCUUUAAUUUUCUCUUUUCUCCUUUUUUUAUGAUUUUUCAUUUUCAUUUUUCUUUCAAAAAGCAUUGAAUAAAAACAAAAUGACUAAAACAUAUUUUUGAUGUUUUCCUUUUCUUUUUCUAAAAACUCUAUGCUAAUCUUAAACUAAAAGCUAAAACUAAAAACUAAAACUAAAAGUAAAUAAGAAUAAAUAGCAAAUGAAAUAGGUCAACUAAAAGGGCGAACAUGAAUAAAACUAAAAUAUCAUAACAACUAAUAGUGCAAAACACACAAUAAUGAACUAAAAUGCAAGCAAUCUAAAAUGAAAAUCAUGAAAUAGAUGCUACAUAAAAUUAUUCAAAAUUUGGUGUCUACACCCAUAGAGUGGUUUGUUGGGAAUUUCCAGUCCAGGGAGCCUUCAAGUUAAAUACGAUGGGUGCUCGCUAGGCAAACCCGGGCGUUAGUGGCGGGGCUGGUGUGCUUAGGGACUCGUCUGGUGCUUUGUUGUUUGGCUUUUCUGUUCCGUUUGGGGAACUUACAUGUCUGCAAGCGGAGAUAAAGGCUUUGGUGUUUGGGUGCAACAAUGCCGUCUUCGGGUUUCUCGCGGAUUCGGGGGAGGUGGAUUCUCUUGUGUUAGUCAACCUCCUGGUAAGACAAGUCAGGUGUCCGUGGUCAGUUCGGUCGGAUCUGGAAUCGUUACGGGCUGUCCAAGGUUGGAGUGGACGGUGGGGCAUUGUUAUCGGGAAAUGAAUCAAGUGGCGGAUGCCUUAGCCAAGGUUGGGGCACAUUCUGAGGGUACUAUUUUAUACGACACAGUCUGAGUUGUCAAGGGUGGCAAGGGGGGCCUUAGGUUUAGAUAGGUCGCAGAUUCCUGGCGAUUCGUACUCGAGCUAUUUCUCACUGAAGCCUGUAUAUUUUGAUUUUCUUGAUUCUAAAUAAAUCGUAGUUUUUAUAAAAAAAAAAAAAAAAAAAAGAGUCUUGCGUGGAACAUCCUAUCCUAGACUUGCCAACCGUCUUACUAAGCUCAAAAUUUUACCAAUAUUAAGAUAAACUGACUUAAAUAUGAUCUAACAUGAAUGCAUAAUUUACCAAGUUAAAUAAUUGGAAUUAGUUCAAAAUAACAGUAAGGCAGGCUUUGAUACCAGAACCGACCAGUAAUAGAAUCAAUAAUUAAACAUAAAGUAAUAGAAUAAGUCAAUUGAAAGUAAGAGCCAGAUAUAAAUUGAAAGUAAUAAAACUUACAAUAAUCAGAGUAGUCUAUGAAAAACGGAAGCUUUAAUGAAUUCAAACUUCUUGGAGCUUUUGAUUGAAGUGAAAUAGUACAGGGAUUGGAAUUGAGAGUACAAGAAAGAGAAGGAAUGAGAAGGAACACUCGAAAAUUUCAAUGCUAGAACCUACUAUUC